GCUGGGCGCAGUUGCAUGCACCUGUAGUCCCAGCUGCUCAGGAGGCUGAGGUAGGAGAAUCGCUCGAGUCCAGGAGUUCUGAGCUAUAAUGUGCCAUGCCGAUUGGGUGUCUGCACUAAGUUCAGCAUCAAUAUGGUGACUUCCCAGGAGUGGGGAACUACCAGGUUGCCUAAGGAGGGGUGAACCAGCCCAGUUCAGAAACAGUUAAAACUCCCAUGCUGAUCAGUAGUGAGACUGCAUCAGUGAACAGCCACUGCAGUCCAGCCUGGGCAACAUAGUGAGACCCCAUCUCUA
RNAcentral lists this signal recognition particle RNA (294 nucleotides) under Pan paniscus (pygmy chimpanzee). Its description in RNAcentral is "Metazoan signal recognition particle RNA". It matches the Rfam family "Metazoan signal recognition particle RNA". Rfam says of the family: The signal recognition particle (SRP) is a universally conserved ribonucleoprotein. It is involved in the co-translational targeting of proteins to membranes. Lineage: Eukaryota; Metazoa; Chordata; Mammalia; Primates; Hominidae. The record is from Rfam by way of RNAcentral. RNAcentral also lists the same sequence under 1 other name.